Molecule: long non-coding RNA, 1185 nt
Organism: Equus caballus (horse)
Lineage: Eukaryota; Metazoa; Chordata; Mammalia; Perissodactyla; Equidae
Source: Ensembl
UUCGGAUCCUGGGCGUGGACAUGGCACUGCUCAUCAGGCCAUGCUGAGGCGGUGUCCCACAUAGCACAACCAGAAGGACCUACAAGUAGAAUAUACAACUAGAGCAAUCCAUUGCCAGUGCAAGUGUCUUCUGUUCUUCUUAGUGUACCCACUGAGAUUUGGGGUUCGGGCAACUGGAGCAAAUACUGAUACUGUGGCUGCUGCUGUUGCCCCAUGCCCGAGUGUUGUCCUCAAGUGGAUUCGACCCAAACUUCUGUGAGAUAAAGGCUUGAUCAUAACCAGGAGACAUCAGGUCAUCUCAGGGGACAAGCCACAGACUUCGACAGUUUCUUCAGUGACCCACGCACGGGUAGGACAUUCCACAACAGUUCUUGGAUCCUAGCACGAGGCCAUGUAGGCCAUCCUCUUGAGAAGUUGCUUCCAUAGAGAACAUCUGUAGGGUUCCAGAAGAAUGCAGUCCAUGUUUACAACGGUUGGAGACUUGACCUCAAUCUGAAGUUACUCUUCCCUUCCUCACCGCCCUACCAACAAAAGGAGAAUGGAAUGUGAUUCUCUCCCCAGCUCCACACAUGUGGCAGGCAGAGGCAGUGGUAGGAGCCAGAGAGACAUUGUUCCUGUAAGUUCAAAGAGGAGCUGUUCCUCGGCAAAAAAUAACUGGUGGCAACCAUCUUGGGAAAAAUAUAUUCCAGAAGUUUAAAUACAGUGGACAACUCUGUAUUUUAAAUCUGAAUGUUUAGAACCUGCAGAUAUAGGGACUAAGAGCAUUUUGUAUUUGCAGAUUAGAGCAUUGACCACUAGGUACUCGGACCUUGCCUUGAACUUGCACAGGCUGCUCAGAAGGGUCGCUGAUUACCUCCUGGGAUUAACCUUCUCUUCUGCCUCCAUCUUCCUGCUGGCUGCUCGUGCCCUAUGAUGUCAGAUGACAGCAUUGCUGUCACCACAGAACAGUUAGCCAGAGAGGUUGGAGUUAACGAAGGCUGCCCCAUUGUUAGGUAGCAACGGGGAGGAAACAGUCAAGACUUCCUGUGUCCACAGUACACAGGUUAGGCAAGCAGCGAAUCUUAUAGAACACAACUUUUGCCAGCUUCUUGUUGUCUGGGUGUGCAGCCAAGCUUGGGAGGUCCCCAAAAUGCUACCUCCUCUGACCAGGGCCUCUGGACUCUAUGAGGACUAGUUCCGACUCCC